UGCCUGCAGACCCCACCGCGCCUGGUCCCCGCUCGGCUCUGAUCCGUGGAGCCCCAGCACUUGGCUGGACCUUCGUGGCCCUCAUACUUCGCGGUGCCCGGAGGUGGUUUGGAACCGAUAAUGAGCCUCUUGGUCAGUGCCAAGGGCUGGGGAAUGAUCACAGGUCUGUGUUUACCACAAAAACCUGCCUUCUGUUUCUUGAGUCCCUGAAAUUCCAGAGCUGCCUCUCUAGCACUGAUGAGAACAGGGGACAUGGAAGGAGUGAGGUUUGGCGGCUGUGGAGCCCCUCAGAAGCGCUACACAGCAUUGUGUCUGUGCUCUGUCUUUGGAAGGAAAUUUAAUUAAUUGUGACUGGAAAUCUCACCCAAAUACAGCCAUUUCUGAUGGCAUGCUUUUCCAUAGAUUCAGCUGUACAAAAUUGUGGGGAAUCUGUAGCCAGAAAAUGAACAAUGCAUCAAAUGUGGGAAACCAGCCCGGUUUUGGCCACAAAAGCUCUGUGCCUUUGAUCCUGUUAUGGGAAUGUUGAAGUAAAUGAACCAAACAGCCCUCACAUCUACACAUACUUGGGAAAAAUCUAAUUGUUUGCAUUUUUUCCCUUCCAACAGUGAACACCCACCUGUUUUUUCCAGAGUAGCACAACUGGUCUAUAUGGAACAUACUGGGAAGCCAAGUGGGCAAUUGCCUGUGCUGUUUAUUUUUAUAGGGCACUUGACAGCAUUGGAAAACACUGAGCACACAGAUAGCAGCACUAAUGGCAGAGAUUGGGAUGGAUGAAUAAGGAUUAGCCCUCACAAGGGUACAGGAUGGGCCAUAUCUCCAGAAAACAAGCCUUGUUGAAAAAAGCUCUGCAGCUAAUGAUGGAAAGCUGAAACCAGGUAAAAAGAACCAAUACUGAUAUUAAAAUUUAAUUGCAUUGAAAAUAUCCUUGUUCUGCAUUUAUGCUUUGAGCCUGUCUCUGAUUUAUUUACACUUACACAGAUCAAAAGAAACUCAGUUUAAAAUUACAGAGAAAAGAAACUAGCACAAACUGUAUAAAGCUCAGUGCCAGCAUUCCACUGUGAUGAAAUACCUGUGAUCUUAAAAUAGCUGAUAUGGUGACUGUUCUAUAAUUAGAUCAAGAUUUAAGUCUAUACAUUGUUCUCCAGCAAAAACAGACUUCCUAUUCACCAGCAGAUUUUUUCCAAAAAAUAUUUUGACUAUUACCUUUAUGUAGCAACUAAACUUGAAUAAUGUAAUUCUUUAUUCAGUGCAUUAUUGUUUGAGCAAUUUCUUUCUGCAAGUAACACAGAUCUUCACAAGGCUUGAAAUUAAUUUGCCUUAUUGUUUGCUUUUUAUUUCUCUUUAUUACACAGAGUAGUUACAAGGUGGCAAUAGACUAAUCUCUGUGCUUUAACAAUCCACACAGGUGUUCAUUUGCUAAAUGUUUUAAACCUGAAAUGAACCAUAUCAGAACUAGCAGACUAUUACCAGUUAUUAAAGGUUUCUUGUGGAACAUCUGACACCUGUAUUAAACUUGAAAUUGAAAGCUCUGUAAAUGUGAGUGCUUCACAUGGGUCCCCAGCCCAAUUACAUUAAACUCAUGAACUACAGUUUGGGGACGAGACUGUGCUAUGGUAAUUCCCAGCAUGAAAUUGUCUCUUAACAUUGAAAUCUAUGAAGCGAAGAAGUAGUUUAGAAAUUUACUGGCUGUACAGUGAAAAUGCAUAUCUUUAAAUUAGAACAAUUUUCCUAGCAGUGCCUUUAUAGUUUGGGCAGUCCUUCCUUCAGAAUUGCAAGCACCAGGAAGAAACAUUUACUUGCUUGAUGAAAUAAAAAACAUCAAAUGGAGUUCUUGGCCUUUUAUUAGGCGAAAGGCUUUGCACAUUUGAUCUGAGUAUAAAACUCAGUGGGAAAAUCUGGAGCAUAAAUUUGAACUAAAUACUUAUGAUUUUCUUAGGACAUGAUAGCAUUUAUCCAUUCCCUGAAAAAAACCCCCAAAACCUCUGAUAUACAGAAGUGUAUUUAUGAUACUGAUUGGCUGUUGGUUUGUUUGAGUUUGAUGCUUUUGGGUUUUUUUUCCCGCAUCUCUAAUUGCAAUACUAAUCAUUGAAUAUUAAUAAUAUGCACCACUGAAAAUAAUUAGUUCUAUUUGCAACAAUUUGAAGAAGGCAAGCUUCAAAAGCAUUUUCAAUAAGGGUUACAAGGAAUCUAAUUAUUUACAACAUGAGAUUUACAGUGUUUGAUUUACUGCAGCAAGUACAGAAAGGUUUAAAGUGAGUUGAGGACUUGUAACAUUGUCCCUCUGUAGCUGAUCUUAGUUUUUGGAACCAAAGGAAACAAGCUGAGCUUGCUUCAUGGAGCACCUAGAUCUAACUCAGCACAUGCCUCAUGCAAAAAAACCUCACCAAACAGCUGAAUUUGUUCAAUUCCUACUUAGGACCAAAGCUGUAAAAUAUUGCAAAAAUACAGUAUUUGUAGAAACUCCAUCUCCUAAUGAUACCACAAACAGAACAAUUACUUUGGCAUUAAUACCAAUGCACAGAGCAUGGGGGUUGAGAAAAGUAAGAUGCACAAAUGCACUACUUAGGAGCUUUUCCUGCAGUGAAUUAGUUUUUAUCUUUAUGGACUUUUUUUUUCUCAGCUGAUAAAAAUGAGUAUAAUCUUUUAAGUUUCAAUCUCCUCAAAAUACCUUCAGUGGUACAAGAAGUUAACUCCAUAGAAAUCUUCAAAGGCUGCUUUCUACUGGAAUGCCUCGGCUCUUGCAGACAGCUCUUGCUUAAUCCCUGGCCUCUCCUGACAAUGUAAGGUGUGCCUGUGUUGGUGGUUUUGACAUUUCCCUUCCUGCCUCUUCUGUGAACAUAAAUGUUUGUAAUGGCCACACAUCAAGACAAUUACAAGCAGCUGAUGAUACCAAGAUGGAGCUCUCGCUACAAUCCUGUAAAAAACUUGUUUCUUAAUCAGUUCAACUCCUGACAGUGAUUCAAGAUUAGGACUUUUAAAAUUAAACAGGAAAGAAAAAGCACUUUUUGUGAGAGCUAUGGCAUACAGCUUUUAAGAAUAUAUUGCUCUCAGUGCUAAGGGUGGUCCAUACACUCAGUAGAAUUAAUGUAGAUGGUUACAAGGUAGUUCCAAGUUUUCCUGAGGCACAGAGAUUUAACAGAAAUAAACUUCAGAGGUAGGGGAAGGAACAGAAGUAUUAAAAUGAGAUAAUUAGGCUAGAACAGCAGAAAGGAAGCUCACACAGCAAGGGGCUUUCCAAGAGAUUAAACCUUUAUGUUUGAAUAAAUCAUUACCUACACUGAAGGAGUAGAAAAAAAAAAAGAGCUUGCUUUUCUGUUGAUUGAACAAAGAGAUAGACCAAAGGAAAGAGCAUACAAGGGACAGUGAACAAUAGAAUGAUUGAUACUAGAGGAGCUUCAGAACUGAAGAACUUCUCUUUAGAACAAAUGUUUGAAAAAAAAAUGAAGAUCCCAUGAUUAGCUAAGUAAAUGGCUAUGGGAAUUACUGCAUGUUCAAGUAAGAGCAUGCUGUGUGAGUGAAAACAAUGAGGAUGAAGAUGACACUGAGUCCAAUAGUGAUGAUGACAGAGACAUGGAUACUUUUAGUAUAAAUCUUCACAGUUAGAGUUGUGAGUUCAUCCAUGUUACCAGCAAUAUCCAAAAUUCAGUGAAUAUCUGCUCCAGGCCAGACACUUGAGUAGGCACAGUGUGAUGCUGUACUCCAGGAUGCUGGUGCACUGUGCAAUACUCUAUUCAAAUCCCGUGUUGUUUGACCUCCUUCAUGCCGAGACCCUUUCCUCUUCUUCCUGCCCUUCUGUGUCACAUGCAUCCUAUCUGUAAGCCUUUGCUUGACUUCAGAACAGCUCAAAAGUUGGCUUUUUCAAACCCUAAAUUUCUUAUGAUGUAUCUGUUUUCUUUUAACACAUGCCUCGACUUCAAAAAAUGUAUGUCCUGUGAGAUUUCAAAUGAUGUAUUAGCUAUAUAUGGAUAAUCCCCUCAAAGACAUCUUCUAGUACUUGUGGAGAAGUCAUGGAAAAACAAAACCUCUGCUAGUCCCAGACAAGUAGGAACUGCAAGCUCUAAGAAAGUCUAAUACAUUCAUCUUUAUUUGAAGGCAGGUUUCUUUACUUAAUUGAUAUAAGGAUGGUAGAGACAAUCUAUCAAGAACAUUUCCUGAA
Catharus ustulatus (Swainson's thrush) is the source of this 4156-nucleotide long non-coding RNA. RefSeq lists it as uncharacterized. NCBI's taxonomy places the organism in Eukaryota, Metazoa, Chordata, Aves, Passeriformes, Turdidae. The transcript is spliced from 2 exons. The record is from RefSeq and is a predicted model, not a curated record.